RNAcentral lists this ribosomal RNA (497 nucleotides) under uncultured bacterium. Its description in RNAcentral is "partial 16S ribosomal RNA". It matches the Rfam family "Bacterial small subunit ribosomal RNA", at positions 28 to 507 of the family's 1533-position model. The record is from RNAcentral.
GAUGAACGCUGGCGGCGUGCCUAAUACAUGCAAGUCGAGCGAACGGACGAGAAGCUUGCUUCUCUGAUGUUAGCGGCGGACGGGUGAGUAACACGUGGAUAACCUACCUAUAAGACUGGGAUAACUUCGGGAAACCGGGGCUAAUACCGGAUAAUAUUUUGAACCGCAUGGUUCAAAAGUGAAAGACGGUCUUGCUGUCACUUAUAGAUGGAUCCGCGCUGCAUUAGCUAGUUGGUAAGGUAACGGCUUACCAAGGCAACGAUGCAUAGCCGACCUGAGAGGGUGAUCGGCCACACUGGAACUGAGACACGGUCCAGACUCCUACGGGAGGCAGCAGUAGGGAAUCUUCCGUAAUGGGCGAAAGCCUGACGGAGCAACGCCGCGUGAGUGAUGAAGGUCUUCGGAUCGUAAAACUCUGUUAUUAGGGAAGAACAUAUGUGUAAGUAACUGUGCACAUCUUGACGGUACCUAAUCAGAAAGCCACGGCUAACUACGUG